AGGAUAAACGCUGGCGGCGUGCCUAACACAUGCAAGUCGAGCGCCCCGCAAGGGGAGCGGCAGACGGGUGAGUAACGCGUGGGAACAUACCCUCCGGUUCGGAAUAGCUCAGGGAAACUUGGAUUAAUACCGGAUACGGCCUAGCGGCGAAAGAUUCAUCGCCGGAGGAUUGGCCCGCGUUCGAUUAGCUAGUUGGUGAGGUAACGGCUCACCAAGGCGACGAUCGAUAGCUGGUCUGAGAGGAUGAUCAGCCACAUUGGGACUGAGACACGGCCCAAACUCCUACGGGAGGCAGCAGUGGGGAAUAUGGACAAUGGGCGAAAGCCUGAUCCGGCAAUAUGGCGUGAGUGAAGAAGGGCAACGCAGCUUGUAAAGCUCUUUCAUCGAGUGUGCGAUUGUGACAAGACUUAGAAUAAGAACGCCCCGGACUAACUCCGCGCCAGCAGCCGC
This 450-nucleotide ribosomal RNA is filed under the name uncultured bacterium. Its description in RNAcentral is "SSU rRNA". It matches the Rfam family "Bacterial small subunit ribosomal RNA", at positions 26 to 518 of the family's 1533-position model. The record is from RNAcentral.